Long non-coding RNA from Lolium rigidum, 497 nucleotides. RefSeq lists it as uncharacterized. The record is from RefSeq and is a predicted model, not a curated record. Lineage: Eukaryota; Viridiplantae; Streptophyta; Magnoliopsida; Poales; Poaceae. The transcript is spliced from 2 exons.
CCAUCCUCGAGCAUGCCACCGGAGCGGGGCGCAGCUCGGCCGCGAGGCCCCUUCCACCUGAAUGCCGGUGUCACUAUGCCGUGCAAAAGGCUAUAGAAACACGCAAAAGGAGCCAGCUAAUUCACAAUUCAUUAACCGGAGAGGAUUCUGUCAAAGUGUAUCAUCUUUCAGGCGAGUGUAAAUGUAUCAUUAUGCUGAUUGCCGUGUUCCUUCAUACACAAGUUAGGAAGCUACGAUCAUCUUCUCUUCACAUUAUUGACCGCAAAAAGUAGAAGUAGCAAGGCCUAAACAGGCCUUAUGCGUAUCCUGAUGUAACAGUGCUUGAUCUCAGCAUUGUGUAUUUUGAUUUCCUGAUAGCUAGGCUCUUAGAUACCAAUGAGCUCUUACAAAUUUGUACCAAAUUAAAGCCUCUGGUGCCAUGUUUUGCUCAGAGCAGUGUUGUAACUCUGAUACCAGCGUAUGUAAAACAUCGAGUUGUAAUGCUUUUCUACCUGACA